RNAcentral lists this ribosomal RNA (447 nucleotides) under uncultured bacterium. RNAcentral's name for it is "bacterial SSU rRNA". It matches the Rfam family "Bacterial small subunit ribosomal RNA", at positions 64 to 507 of the family's 1533-position model. The record is from RNAcentral.
GAACGGCAGCGCGGGAGCAAUCCUGGCGGCGAGUGGCGAACGGGUGAGUAAUACAUCGGAACGUGCCCAAUCGUGGGGGAUAACGCAGCGAAAGCUGUGCUAAUACCGCAUAAGAUCUACGGAUGAAAGCAGGGGAUCGCAAGACCUUGCGCGACUGGAGCGGCCGAUGGCAGAUUAGGUAGUUGGUGAGGUAAAGGCUCACCAAGCCUUCGAUCUGUAGCUGGUCUGAGAGGACGACCAGCCACACUGGGACUGAGACACGGCCCAGACUCCUACGGGAGGCAGCAGUGGGGAAUUUUGGACAAUGGGCGCAAGCCUGAUCCAGCCAUGCCGCGUGCAGGAUGAAGGCCUUCGGGUUGUAAACUGCUUUUGUACGGAACGAAACGGUCCUUUCUAAUACAGGGGGCUAAUGACGGUACCGUAAGAAUAAGCACCGGCUACUACGUG